CCUACGGGUGGCAGCAGUGAGGAAUAUUGGUCAAUGGGCUUACGCCUGAACCAGCCAAGUCGCGUGAGGGAAGACUGCCCUAUGGGUUGUAAACCUCUUUUGUCAGGGAGCAACGCCGGCUACGUGUAGCCGGACUGAGAGUACCUGAAGAAAAAGCAUCGGCUAACUCCGUGCCAGCAGCCGCGGUAAUACGGAGGAUGCGAGCGUUAUCCGGAUUUAUUGGGUUUAAAGGGUGCGCAGGCGGCGAGUUAAGUCAGCGGUAAAAUUUCGGGGCUCAACCCCGACAAGCCGUUGAAACUGGCUUGCUAGAGUGGGCGAGAAGUAUGCGGAAUGCGUGGUGUAGCGGUGAAAUGCAUAGAUAUCACGCAGAACUCCGAUUGCGAAGGCAGCAUACCGGCGCCCAACUGACGCUCAGGCACGAAAGCGUGGGUAUCGAACAGGAUUAGAUACCCUGGUAGUC
Molecule: ribosomal RNA, 460 nt
Filed under: uncultured bacterium
Lineage: Bacteria
Description: partial 16S ribosomal RNA
Rfam family: Bacterial small subunit ribosomal RNA
Source: RNAcentral